Molecule: ribosomal RNA, 499 nt
Filed under: uncultured bacterium
Lineage: Bacteria
Description: bacterial SSU rRNA
Rfam family: Bacterial small subunit ribosomal RNA
Source: RNAcentral
GAUCCUGGCUCAGGAUGAACGCUAGCUACAGGCUUAACACAUGCAAGUCGAGGGGCAGCACUAGGUAGCAAUACUGAGGUGGCGACCGGCGCACGGGUGCGUAACGCGUAUCCAACCUUCCCGUUACUCUUGGAUAGCCUUCCGAAAGGGAGAUUAAUACAAGAUGGUAUUCAAAUUCCGCAUGUUAUUCGAAUUAAAGAUUUAUCGGUAACGGAUGGGGAUGCGUGACAUUAGAUAGUAGGCGGGGUAACGGCCCACCUAGUCUACGAUGUCUAGGGGUUCUGAGAGGAAGGUCCCCCACACUGGAACUGAGACACGGUCCAGACUCCUACGGGAGGCAGCAGUGAGGAAUAUUGGUCAAUGGGCGCAAGCCUGAACCAGCCAAGUAGCGUGAAGGAUGACUGCCCUAUGGGUUGUAAACUUCUUUUAUACGGGAACAAACCUUGGUACGCGUACCAAAUUGCGUGUACCGUAUGAAUAAGCAUCGGCUAACUCCGUG